This 465-nucleotide ribosomal RNA is filed under the name uncultured bacterium. Its description in RNAcentral is "partial 16S ribosomal RNA". It matches the Rfam family "Bacterial small subunit ribosomal RNA", at positions 28 to 507 of the family's 1533-position model. The record is from RNAcentral.
GAUGAACGCUGGCGGCGUGCUUAACACAUGCAAGUCGAACGGAAAGGCUCCUGCUUGCUGGGGUACUCGAGUGGCGAACGGGUGAGUAACACGUGGGUGAUCUGCCCUGCACUUCGGGAUAAGCCUGGGAAACUGGGUCUAAUACCGGAUAGGACGAUGGUUUGGAUGCCAUUGUGGAAAGUUUUUCGGUGUGGGAUGAGCUCGCGGCCUAUCAGCUUGUUGGUGGGGUAAUGGCCUACCAAGGCGUCGACGGGUAGCCGGCCUGAGAGGGUGUACGGCCACAUUGGGACUGAGAUACGGCCCAGACUCCUACGGGAGGCAGCAGUGGGGAAUAUUGCACAAUGGGCGCAAGCCUGAUGCAGCGACGCCGCGUGGGGGAUGACGGCCUUCGGGUUGUAAACUCCUUUCGCUAGGGACGAAGCGCAAGUGACGGUACCUGGAGAAGAAGCACCGGCUAACUACGUG